ACCGGAAUGGACGGACCGCUGGUGUGCCGGUUGUGUCGCCAGACGCACCGCCGGGUAGCUACGUCCGGACGGGAUAACCGCUGAAAGCAUCUAAGCGGGAAGCCUCCCCCAAGAUCAGUUCUCCCGCGUCCUUUGAGACGCCUCAAGGUCCGUGGCAGACCACCACGUGGAUAGGCGUGGCGGUGGACGCGCCGUAAGGCGUGCAGCCGACCCGUACUAAUCGACCGUGCGGCUUGACCCG
RNAcentral lists this ribosomal RNA (241 nucleotides) under Candidatus Competibacteraceae bacterium. Its description in RNAcentral is "partial 23S ribosomal RNA". It matches the Rfam family "Bacterial large subunit ribosomal RNA", at positions 2691 to 2925 of the family's 2925-position model. The record is from RNAcentral. Lineage: Bacteria; Pseudomonadati; Pseudomonadota; Gammaproteobacteria; Candidatus Competibacteraceae.